UUCCCCAUUCCCCAUUCCCAGAAUUCCCAAAUAAUUCCCGCAGAAUUCCCGGGAUCAGAUCCAGAUGUCGGAGGUGCCGUUCCCCGUUCCCCAUUCCCAGAAUUCCCGGAAUUCCCGGGAUUCCCGGGAUAUCAGAUCCAGAUGUCGGAGGUGCAGUCCCCCCCCGGGUACCGCAUCUCGUGCGCCAGGCAGGGCCCGCCCGGCUCCUUCCCGAAAUCCAGCAGGAAUUUGGGAUUGACGGCCAGGCCGCCCCGCUCCGUG
Molecule: long non-coding RNA, 261 nt
Organism: Poecile atricapillus (Black-capped chickadee)
Lineage: Eukaryota; Metazoa; Chordata; Aves; Passeriformes; Paridae
Exons: 3
Source: RefSeq, a predicted model, not a curated record